Molecule: ribosomal RNA, 594 nt
Filed under: uncultured fungus
Lineage: Eukaryota; Fungi
Description: eukaryotic LSU rRNA
Rfam family: Eukaryotic large subunit ribosomal RNA
Source: RNAcentral
AUAUCAAUAAGCGGAGGAAAAGAAACCAACAGGGAUUACCUCAGUAACGGCGAGUGAAGCGGUAACAGCUCAAAUUUGAAAUCUGGCUCUUUCAGGGUCCGAGUUGUAAUUUGUAGAAGAUGCUUCGAGUAUGGAUCCGGUCUAAGUUCCUUGGAACAGGACGUCAUAGAGGGUCGAGAAUCCCGUAUGUGACUGGGUGCUUUUGCUCAUGUGAAGCUCUUUCGACGAGUCGAGUUGUUUGGGAAUGCAGCUCAAAAUGGGUGGUAUAUUUCAUCUAAAGCUAAAUAUUGGCCAGAGACCGAUAGCGCACAAGUAGAGUGAUCGAAAGAUGAAAAGCACUUUGGAAAGAGAGUUAAACAGUACGUGAAAUUGUUGAAAGGGAAGCGCUGGCAACCAGACUUGCACGCUGUCGAUCAUCCGAACUUCUGUCCGGCGCACUCGACUGCGUUCAGGCCAGCAUCGGUUUCGGUGGUGUGAUAAAGGCCUUGGGAAUGUAGCUUCUUUCGGGGAGUGUUAUAGCCCUCGGUGCAAUGCCGCCUCCCGGGACCGAGGAACGCCCUUCGGCUAGGAUGCUGGCGUAAUGGUUGUAAGCGA